RNAcentral lists this ribosomal RNA (505 nucleotides) under uncultured bacterium. RNAcentral's name for it is "bacterial SSU rRNA". It matches the Rfam family "Bacterial small subunit ribosomal RNA", at positions 28 to 526 of the family's 1533-position model. The record is from RNAcentral.
GAUGAACGCUAGCGGCAGGCUUAACACAUGCAAGUCGAGGGGCAGCAUUAUCUGCUUGCAGAUAGAUGGCGACCGGCGCACGGGUGCGUAACGCGUAUGCAACCUACCUCAUACAGGAGGAUAGCCCGAAGAAAUUCGGAUUAAUACUCCAUAGUAUCAUACUUUCGCCUGUUAGUAUGAUUAAAGAUUUAUCGGUAUGAGAUGGGCAUGCGUUAGAUUAGCUAGUUGGAGAGGUAACGGCUCACCAAGGCUACGAUCUAUAGGGGGCCUGAGAGGGUGAUCCCCCACACUGGUACUGAGACACGGACCAGACUCCUACGGGAGGCAGCAGUGAGGAAUAUUGGUCAAUGGAGGCAACUCUGAACCAGCCAUGCCGCGUGAAGGAAGAAGGCGUUCUGCGUUGUAAACUUCUUUUAUUUGGGAAGAAACUCCUCUACGUGUAGAGGACUGACGGUACCAAACGAAUAAGCACCGGCUAACUCCGUGCCAGCCGCCGCCGUAAUAC